This 441-nucleotide ribosomal RNA is filed under the name uncultured bacterium. RNAcentral describes it as "partial 16S ribosomal RNA". It matches the Rfam family "Bacterial small subunit ribosomal RNA", at positions 338 to 795 of the family's 1533-position model. The record is from RNAcentral.
CCUACGGGUGGCUGCAGUGGGGAAUAUUGGACAAUGGGCGCAAGCCUGAUCCAGCAACGCCGCGUGAAGGAUGAAGGUUUUCGGAUUGUAAACUUCUGUCGCGAGGGACGAAAAAUGACGUUACCUCGUAAGAAAGCCCCGGCUAAUUACGUGCCAGCAGCCGCGGUAAUACGUAGGGGGCAAGGGUUUUCCGGAAUGACUGGGGUUAAAGGGAGGGUAGCGGGGUAGGCAAGUCAGAUGUGAAGUCCGGAGGCUCAACCUCCGGAUUGCAUUUGAAACUGUUUUUCUUGAGUACUGGAGAGGUAGGCGGAAUUCGUUGUGUAGCGGUGAAAUGCGUAGAUAUAAGGAGGAACACCAGUGGCGAAGGCGGUCUGCUGGACAGCAACUGACGGUGAGGCGCGAAAGCGUGGGGAGCAAACAGGAUUAGAUACCCUGGUAGUC